UAAGACGUAGGAGGCGAGCGUUAUCCGGAUUCACUGGGCGUAAAGCGCAUGUAGGCGGUUGGACAAGUCGUGUGUUAAAGCCCCUGGCUCAACUGGGGGAGGUCAUGCGAGACUGUGCGACUUGAGGGCAAGAGAGGCACGUGGAACUCCCGGUGUAGCGGUGGAAUGCGUAGAGAUCGGGAAGAACACCAGUGGCGAAGGCGACGUGCUGGGUUGCACCUGACGCUGAGAUGCGAAAGUGUGGGGAGCAAACGGGAUUAGAUACCCCGGUAGUCCACACUGUAAACGAUGAACCCUAGGUGUGGGCGGGAAUACCGUCCGUGCCGAAGCCAACGCGUUAAGGGUUCCGCCUGGGGACUAUGAGCGCAAGCUUA
This 374-nucleotide ribosomal RNA is filed under the name uncultured bacterium. RNAcentral's name for it is "bacterial SSU rRNA". It matches the Rfam family "Bacterial small subunit ribosomal RNA", at positions 521 to 896 of the family's 1533-position model. The record is from RNAcentral.